RNAcentral lists this ribosomal RNA (383 nucleotides) under Dilabifilum sp. RNAcentral's name for it is "partial small subunit ribosomal RNA". It matches the Rfam family "Eukaryotic small subunit ribosomal RNA", at positions 582 to 975 of the family's 1831-position model. Lineage: Eukaryota; Viridiplantae; Chlorophyta; Chlorophyceae; Chaetophorales; Chaetophoraceae. The record is from RNAcentral.
AUUCCAGCUCCAAUAGCGUAUAUUUAAGUUGUUGCAGUUAAAAAGCUCGUAGUUGGAUUUCGGGUGGGCUGCGCCGGUCUCCUAACGGUUGUACUGGCGACGCCUGCCUUGCUGCCGGGGACGGGCUCCUGCCUUUACUGUCGGGACCCGGAAUCGGCGACGUUACUUUGAGUAAAUUAGAGUGUUCAAAGCAAGCCUACGCUCUGAAUAUAAUAGCAUGGGAUAACACGACAGGACUCUGGCCUAUCGUGUUGGUCUGUGGGACCAGGGUAAUGAUUAAGAGGGACAGUCGGGGGCAUUCGUAUUCCGUUGUCAGAGGUGAAAUUCUUGGAUUUACGGAAGACGAACAUCUGCGAAAGCAUUUGCCAAGGAUGUUUUCAUUA